RNAcentral lists this ribosomal RNA (1091 nucleotides) under Laribacter hongkongensis DSM 14985. RNAcentral describes it as "bacterial LSU rRNA". It matches the Rfam family "Bacterial large subunit ribosomal RNA", at positions 928 to 2014 of the family's 2925-position model. The record is from RNAcentral. Lineage: Bacteria; Pseudomonadati; Pseudomonadota; Betaproteobacteria; Neisseriales; Aquaspirillaceae.
CAUUGCGAUUUACCAACCCAUGGCAAACUCCGAAUACCGUCAAGUGCGUCCUCGGGAGACAGACAGCGGGUGCUAACGUCCGUUGUCAAGAGGGAAACAACCCAGACCGCCAGCUAAGGUCCCAAAUGACAUGCUAAGUGGUAAACGAAGUGGGAAGGCCAAGACAGCCAGGAUGUUGGCUUAGAAGCAGCCAUCAUUCAAAGAAAGCGUAAUAGCUCACUGGUCGAGUCGUCCUGCGCGGAAGAUGUAACGGGGCUCAAGCAUGUAACCGAAGCUGCGGAUGCGUACUUGUACGCAUGGUAGGAGAGCGUUCUGUAGGCCUGCGAAGGUGGUGGUGUAAACCCUGCUGGAGGUAUCAGAAGUGCGAAUGCUGACAUGAGUAGCGAUAAAGCGGGUGAAAGUCCCGCUCGCCGAAAACCCAAGGUUUCCUACGCAACGUUCAUCGGCGUAGGGUGAGUCGGCCCCUAAGGCGAGGCAGAAAUGCGUAGUCGAUGGGAAACGGGUCAAGAUUCCCGUACCGGUUGUGAAUGCGAUGGGGGGACGGAGAAGGGUAGCUCAGCGGCCUGUUGGAAUAGGUCGUUUAAGCGUGUAGGAGUGGUCUCCUGGCAAAUCCGGAGAUCUUAUCUGAGGCGUGAUGACGAGGGUCUACGGACCUGAAGUGAGUAAUCCCAAGCUUCCAGGAAAAGCCUCUAAGCUUCAGUUCACAACUGACCGUACCGCAAACCGACACAGGUGGGUAGGUAGAGAAUACCAAGGCGCUUGAGAGAACUCGGGUUAAGGAACUCGGCAAAUUGACACCGUAACUUCGGGAGAAGGUGUGCCCCGGUAGCGUGUAAGACUUCGCGUCCGAAGCGUGAUGGGGUCGCAGAGAAUAGGUGGCUGCGACUGUUUAAUAAAAACACAGCUCUGUGCCAACACGAAAGUGGACGUAUACGGAGUGACGCCUGCCCGGUGCCGGAAGGUUAAGUGAUGGGGUGCAAGCUCUUGAUCGAAGCCCCGGUAAACGGCGGCCGUAACUAUAACGGUCCUAAGGUAGCGAAAUUCCUUGUCGGGUAAGUUCCGACCCGCACGAAUGGCGUAACGAUGGCCAC